AUCCAGCUGACGAGUUCGGAAUAGGACGAACCGCAUGUCUUGGAU
This 45-nucleotide non-coding RNA is filed under the name Schistosoma margrebowiei. Lineage: Eukaryota; Metazoa; Platyhelminthes; Trematoda; Strigeidida; Schistosomatidae. The record is from RNAcentral.